AAGAAAGUGCCGCAAGAACUGCUAAUUCAUGCCACCAUGACUAAAACCCAUGGCUUUCUUA
Molecule: transfer RNA, 61 nt
Filed under: Hylomyscus denniae vulcanorum
Lineage: Eukaryota; Metazoa; Chordata; Mammalia; Rodentia; Muridae
Description: tRNA-Ser
Source: RNAcentral